AGAGUUUGAUCAUGGCUCAGGACGAACGCUGGCGGCGUGCCUAACACAUGCAAGUCGAACGGAGAUAUCAGCAAUGUUAUCUUAGUGGCGGACGGGUGAGUAACGCGUGGGCAACCUGCCUCAUACAGGGGGAUAACACAGGGAAACUUGUGCUAAUACCGCAUAAAACCAAAGGUUGGCAUCAACUAAUGGUCAAAGGA
RNAcentral lists this ribosomal RNA (200 nucleotides) under uncultured bacterium. RNAcentral describes it as "partial 16S ribosomal RNA". It matches the Rfam family "Bacterial small subunit ribosomal RNA", at positions 8 to 208 of the family's 1533-position model. The record is from RNAcentral.